AGUCGUGUAUUUACAAAACCAAAUUUAAUACCUGUAAUAAGGGCAGGUAGUUUCUACCAGAGCGCCGUAAAUGCUCUGACAAUCGUUUUGAAAACAAUCU
This 100-nucleotide non-coding RNA is filed under the name Erysipelothrix larvae. RNAcentral describes it as "Guanine sequence". It matches the Rfam family "Purine riboswitch aptamer". Rfam says of the family: Riboswitches are metabolite binding domains within certain messenger RNAs that serve as precision sensors for their corresponding targets. The record is from Rfam by way of RNAcentral. Lineage: Bacteria; Bacillati; Bacillota; Erysipelotrichia; Erysipelotrichales; Erysipelotrichaceae.